CGAGGAAUAUUGGGCAAUGGGCGAAAGCCUGACCCAGCGACGCCGCGUGGGUGAUGAAGGCCUUCGGGUUGUAAAACCCUUUCGUGCGGAAAGAAUAGUCCUGUAGCGAAUAACUACGGGAUUUGACGGUACCGCAGGAAGAAGCACCGGCUAACUCCGUGCCAGCAGCCGCGGUAAUACGGAGGGUGCAAGCGUUGUUCGGAAUUAUUGGGCGUAAAGGGCGCGUAGGUGGUUGUGAUAGUCAGAUGUGAGAUCCUUCGGCUCGACCGAAGAACUGCAUCUGAAACUUCAUAGCUCGAGUACAGGAGAGGGAAACGGAAUUCCCGGUGUAGAGGUGAAAUUCGUAGAUAUCGGGAGGAACACCAGUGGCGAAGGCGGUUUCCUGGCCUGAUACUGACGCUGAGGCGCGAAAGCGUGGGGAGCAAACAG
RNAcentral lists this ribosomal RNA (429 nucleotides) under uncultured bacterium. Its description in RNAcentral is "bacterial SSU rRNA". It matches the Rfam family "Bacterial small subunit ribosomal RNA", at positions 355 to 775 of the family's 1533-position model. The record is from RNAcentral.